This 603-nucleotide ribosomal RNA is filed under the name Triticum aestivum (bread wheat). Its description in RNAcentral is "partial small subunit ribosomal RNA". Lineage: Eukaryota; Viridiplantae; Streptophyta; Magnoliopsida; Poales; Poaceae. The record is from RNAcentral.
AUGGCCGUGCUUCGUACCGGAGAGGACCAUUUCCGGGUCGUCUUGGUAGGCCACGACGACCAUCACACGCAAGCGCUCGCCUGCGUUUACUCAUCGCAGACCCGUCAAUGGGGCAGUGUCAUCUCCGCACCAAUUCCACCCGUUGUUUCUAUAGUGACCGAAAUUCCAGGUGUCCUGGUUGGGGAUUCCAUUUACUGCCUCGCCGCGGUACAGCUCCUGGCCAAUAUGUAUGGCCAGGGGAAUCACAGCCUCUGGGUGAUGCGGGCACAGGAUGGUGGCCUUGGAUUACUCUUCCUGUGGGGCACCGAUGCACAACUAUGGAAGAGGACCAAGACAGAUGGUGAUGGUGCUGCUAAUUCAUGGACGAUCACAAAGGCUAUUCAAAUGGACAAGCUACUUUCAGUGAACACAGAGGAGGAGAAAAGGAGCCUGUCGAUAGAAGGGCUUGUUGAGGACCGUAAUGUGGUGUUCUUCAGAACAGCAAUCAGUCACUUUAUGGUGCAUCUUGAGUCACUCUGGUCAUUGAGGUGCAAGGAACUUUCUGAAACCAACAUCAUACAUGUACAAGAAUCUAAGUCAUUUCCUAUAUACAUAACUGGUUGA